RNAcentral lists this ribosomal RNA (253 nucleotides) under Geodermatophilus sp. Its description in RNAcentral is "partial 16S ribosomal RNA". It matches the Rfam family "Bacterial small subunit ribosomal RNA", at positions 524 to 776 of the family's 1533-position model. Lineage: Bacteria; Bacillati; Actinomycetota; Actinomycetes; Geodermatophilales; Geodermatophilaceae. RNAcentral also lists the same sequence under 2 other names. The record is from RNAcentral.
UACGUAGGGUGCAAGCGUUGUCCGGAAUUAUUGGGCGUAAAGAGCUCGUAGGCGGUUCGUCGCGUCGGCUGUGAAAACCCGGAGCUCAACUCCGGGCCUGCAGUCGAUACGGGCGGACUUGAGUGUUGCAGGGGAGACUGGAAUUCCUGGUGUAGCGGUGAAAUGCGCAGAUAUCAGGAGGAACACCGGUGGCGAAGGCGGGUCUCUGGGCAACUACUGACGCUGAGGAGCGAAAGCGUGGGGAGCGAACAGG